RNAcentral lists this ribosomal RNA (247 nucleotides) under uncultured bacterium. RNAcentral's name for it is "partial 16S ribosomal RNA". It matches the Rfam family "Bacterial small subunit ribosomal RNA", at positions 86 to 334 of the family's 1533-position model. The record is from RNAcentral.
AGAUGGCGACCGGCGCACGGGUGAGUAACACGUAUCCAACCUGCCGAUAACUCGGGGAUAGCCUUUCGAAAGAAAGAUUAAUACCCGAUGGUAUAAUCAGACCGCAUGGUUUGAUUAUUAAAGAAUUUCGGUUAUCGAUGGGGAUGUGUUCCAUUAGGCAGUUGGUGAGGUAACGGCUCACCAAACCUUCGAUGGAUAGGGGUUCUGAGAGGAAGGUCCCCCACAUUGGAACUGAGACACGGUCCAA